GAGAUCGUAGCUCAGUCGGUAGAGCAUCGCACUUUUAAUGCGAGGGUCAUGGGUUCGAGCCCCAUCGAUCUCA
RNAcentral lists this transfer RNA (73 nucleotides) under Planctomycetia bacterium. RNAcentral's name for it is "tRNA-Lys". It matches the Rfam family "tRNA". Rfam says of the family: Transfer RNA (tRNA) molecules are approximately 80 nucleotides in length. Lineage: Bacteria; Pseudomonadati; Planctomycetota; Planctomycetia. The record is from RNAcentral.